AGAUGUGAGGGCAAUCUGGCUGUGACAUCUGUCUGCCCAUUGAUCGUCAGGGUUGAUUUGGCUCAUCUGGCUGGUUUGGGCAGGUGUCACCUUCCUCCCUCACCAUUCCAUGGGCUUCCCUCCCAAAACUGCGUGCUCAGUUGAAGAGGAUGAUCUUCGCCAAUAGAAAGAGGACCGUCCUUUGGUCAAGUCUAUAGGAGCAGCUACAAUCCCCUGCUAGAGCCUCCAAACAAGCUCUCAAGAAAGGAAUGGAAGCAAGAAGUAGAGAGGAAGAGGGAUAAAUGACGGCACAUUAUUGCAAUUGGUGAGUUGAACUAAACGUGUCUAA
This 328-nucleotide small nuclear RNA is filed under the name Echinops telfairi (small Madagascar hedgehog). RNAcentral describes it as "7SK RNA (ENSETEG00000024572.1)". It matches the Rfam family "7SK RNA". Rfam says of the family: 7SK was discovered as an abundant small nuclear RNA in the mid-70s but a possible function has only recently been suggested. Two independent studies have found that 7SK RNA binds the CDK9/cyclin T complex (known as elongation factor P-TEFb). The record is from RNAcentral. Lineage: Eukaryota; Metazoa; Chordata; Mammalia; Afrosoricida; Tenrecidae.